RNAcentral lists this ribosomal RNA (457 nucleotides) under uncultured Sphingobacteriales bacterium. Its description in RNAcentral is "bacterial SSU rRNA". It matches the Rfam family "Bacterial small subunit ribosomal RNA", at positions 925 to 1382 of the family's 1533-position model. The record is from RNAcentral. Lineage: Bacteria; Pseudomonadati; Bacteroidota; Sphingobacteriia; Sphingobacteriales.
ACAAGCGGUGGAGCAUGUGGUUUAAUUCGAUGAUACGCGAGGAACCUUACCUGGGCUCGAACGUAAGAUGACUGUAGGUGAAAGCUUACAUCUCUUCGGAGCAUUUUACGAGGUGCUGCAUGGUUGUCGUCAGCUCGUGCCGUGAGGUGUCGGGUUAAGUCCCAUAACGAGCGCAACCCCUACCUUUAGUUGCCAUCAGGUUAAGCUGGGGACUCUAAAGGAACUGCCUACGCAAGUAGUGAGGAAGGCGGGGAUGACGUCAAAUCAGCACGGCCCUUACGUCCAGGGCUACACACGUGCUACAAUGGCCGAUACAGAGGGCAGCUACCUGGUGACAGGAUGCAAAUCUCCAAAGUCGGUCUCAGUUCGGAUCGGAGUCUGCAACCCGACUCCGUGAAGUUGGAUUCGCUAGUAAUCGCGCAUCAGCCAUGGCGCGGUGAAUACGUUCCCGGGCCUU